Molecule: ribosomal RNA, 543 nt
Filed under: uncultured bacterium
Lineage: Bacteria
Description: bacterial SSU rRNA
Rfam family: Bacterial small subunit ribosomal RNA
Source: RNAcentral
UGGGGAAUUUUGCACAAUGGACGCAAGUCUGAUGCAGCGACGCCGCGUGAGGGAUGUAGGCCUUCGGGUUGUGAACCUCUUUCGCUCAUGGUCAAGCCGCAGCUUUGGGUUGUGGUGAGGGUAGUGGGUAAAGAAGCGCCGGCUAACUACGUGCCAGCAGCCGCGGUAAUACGUAGGGCGCGAGCGUUGUCCGGAAUUAUUGGGCGUAAAGGGCUUGUAGGCGGUUGGUCGCGUCUGCCGUGAAAUCCUCUGGCUUAACUGGGGGCGUGCGGUGGGUACGGGCUGGCUUGAGUGCGGUAGGGGAGACUGGAAUUCCUGGUGUAGCGGUGGAAUGCGCAGAUAUCAGGAGGAACACCGGUGGCGAAGGCGGGUCUCUGGGCCGUUACUGACGCUGAGGAGCGAAAGCGUGGGGAGCGAACAGGAUUAGAUACCCUGGUAGUCCACGCUGUAAACGUUGGGCACUAGGUGUGGGGGCCACCCGUGGUUUCUGCGCCGUAGCUAACGCUUUAAGUGCCCCGCCUGGGGAGUACGGCCGCAAGGCUA